GACGAACGCUGGCGGCGUGCUUAAUACAUGCAAGUCGAACGGAAAGGCCCUGCUUUUGUGGGGUGCUCGAGUGGCGAACGGGUGAGUAACACGUGAGUAACCUGCCCUUGACUUUGGGAUAACUUCAGGAAACUGGGGCUAAUAUCGGAUAGAAGCUCCUGCUGCAUGGUGGGGGUUGGAAAGUUUCGGCGGUUGGGGAUGGACUCGCGGCUUAUCAGCUUGUUGGUGGGGUAGUGGCUUACCAAGGCUUUGACGGGUAGCCGGCCUGAGAGGGUGACCGGCCACAUUGGGACUGAGAUACGGCCCAGACUCCUACGGGAGGCAGCAGUGGGGAGUAUUGCAGAGUAGGCGGGAGCCUGAUGCAGCAACGCCGCGUGCGGGAUGACGGCCUUCGGGUUGUAAACCGCUUUCGCCGGUGACAAAGCGUGAGUGACGGUAAUGGGUCAAGAAGCACCGGCUAACUACGUG
This 468-nucleotide ribosomal RNA is filed under the name uncultured bacterium. Its description in RNAcentral is "partial 16S ribosomal RNA". It matches the Rfam family "Bacterial small subunit ribosomal RNA", at positions 28 to 507 of the family's 1533-position model. The record is from RNAcentral.